This 148-nucleotide non-coding RNA is filed under the name Chlorocebus sabaeus (green monkey). The record is from Rfam by way of RNAcentral. Lineage: Eukaryota; Metazoa; Chordata; Mammalia; Primates; Cercopithecidae.
GCCAGGCAUGGUGGUGCAUGCCUGUAGUCCCAGCUACUCAGAAGGCUGAGAUGGGAGGAUUGCUUGAGCCCAGGAGGUUGGGGCUGCAGUGAGCUGAGGUCACACCACUGCAUUCCAGCCUGGGUGACAGAGCGAGACCUUGUCUCAA